Molecule: long non-coding RNA, 517 nt
Filed under: Penaeus japonicus
Lineage: Eukaryota; Metazoa; Arthropoda; Malacostraca; Decapoda; Penaeidae
Description: uncharacterized LOC122249173
Source: RNAcentral
ACGUGUAAUCUGUAUGUAUACAGAGGAAGAUAUUGACAUGUAUAUAUCAUGUAUGAUAAGCAUAGCCUCACCCAUAAGAUUUUAAAUGUAUUGAUAGUUUAUAAAUAUUUAUAUUGGAAUUUGUCCAUUACCCCUUACUAAAAUAAUUAUGAAUCAUGUAAUCAUGUAUAUACAUUUAAUUUUUUUUUUUUUUUUUUUACGAUGAGCAUAGGCACACAUAUUAAAGAAAAUUGAAAACGUACAAGAAAGUGUGGUGAUCUAAUAAAUUCAAUGUUUCAGGUGAGCGACAUGAACCCAAUGUCAUCACUGCAUGAAGAGCAAGAGCCAAUAAGGUGAGCUGGAUGAACCCAAUGCCAUUACUGCAUGGAGAUCAAAGGCCAACAAGGUGAGCGGAAUGAACCCAAUGUCAUCACUGCAUGGAGAGCAAGAGCCAACAAGGUAAUGUUUAAAUAAAUGUUACAGUAAGAGACACUGUGGAUAUAGCAAGAGAUGAAGGAAAAGGAAUGCUUUUUUAUGU